UACGUAGGGUGCGAGCGUUAAUCGGAAUUACUGGGCGUAAAGCGUGCGCAGGCGGUUUGUUAAGUCCGCUGUGAAAGCCCCGGGCUCAACCUGGGAAUGGCGGUGGAAACUGGCGAGCUAGAGUGUGUCAGAGGGGGGUGGAAUUCCACGUGUAGCAGUGAAAUGCGUAGAUAUCUGCAGGAACACCCGUGGCGAAAGCGGCGCGCUGGACCACUACUGACGCUGAGGAACGAAAGCUAGGGGAGCAAACAGG
This 253-nucleotide ribosomal RNA is filed under the name uncultured bacterium. RNAcentral's name for it is "partial 16S ribosomal RNA". It matches the Rfam family "Bacterial small subunit ribosomal RNA", at positions 524 to 776 of the family's 1533-position model. The record is from RNAcentral.